Molecule: long non-coding RNA, 560 nt
Organism: Acanthopagrus latus (yellowfin seabream)
Lineage: Eukaryota; Metazoa; Chordata; Actinopteri; Spariformes; Sparidae
Exons: 3
Source: RefSeq, a predicted model, not a curated record
CCUGAGGAAAGUCCUGCAGCAGCUGGCAGAGGAGCUGAGGGCAGAAUAGAUGGAGGGGAAAGGGGCCGCAGUAGGCGGCACGAGGUGGGCAGCAGCGGAAGCAACCACUGCAACAGCAGCAGACACGGACACGGAGGCAGUGCCGGAACCAAACGUCGGACAGUUGAAAUGCCACAAGCCCGUGUGUGGUAACUGUGCGAGGAGAGCGGAGGCAAAAGGGUUAACAAGUGCUCAGCAUCUCUGGGAACUGGGAGCAAGACUGUUGGAAAACCAUUUCAGAGACUGGGCUGAGAAGAGAGGAAGAGAGAGGAAAUCUGGAUUUAAAGGUGAUGAGAGAUGAAGGUGGGGAAGAAAGUGGCUGCAGGAAAAUGUCAACUCAAAAAGAGGGAAAAGAUGAGCUGGAAGGAGAUGAAGGGCAGAAUAUGUAAAAGCAAACGUCAAAUGAAGAGGUUAUAUAUGAGCCCUGGACAGCUCUGACAGUAUAGCUGGUAAAGACCAGGAGAACUGGAUCUGUGAUGGCCCAGAGAAAGGACAGUGUGUUUGGAAGAAAGACAAGAAAG